UUCCGGUUGAUCCUGCCAGAGGCCACUGCUAUCGGAGUUCGAUUAAGCCAUGCGAGUCGAGAGGUGCAAGACCUCGGCAUACUGCUCAGUAACACGUGGACAACCUAACCUAUGGUGGGGGAUAACCCCGGGAAACUGGGGAUAAUACCCCAUAGGCUAUGGAAGCUGGAAUGCUCUGUAGUCGAAAGGUGAGCCGCCAUAGGGUGGGUCUGCGGCCGAUUAGGUUGUUGUUGGGGUAACGGCCCAACAAGCCUGUAAUCGGUACGGGUUGUGGGAGCAAGAGCCCGGAGAUGGAUUCUGAGACACGAAUCCAGGCCCUACGGGGCGCAGCAGGCGCGAAAACUUUACAAUGCGGGAAACCGUGAUAAGGGAACUCCGAGCGCCCGUUAAAUCGGGCUGUCCGUCAGUUUAAAUAACUGACGAAGAAAGGGCCGGGCAAGACCGGUGCCAGCCGCCGCGGUAAUACCGGCGGCUCGAGUGGUGGCCACUAUUACUGGGCUUAAAGCGUUCGUAGCUGGUUUGUUAAGUCUCUGGGGAAAUCUGCCGGCUUAACCGGCAGGCGUCUCAGGGAUACUGGCAGACUAGGGACCGGGAGAGGUGAGGGGUACUCCAGGGGUAGGAGUGAAAUCCUGUAAUCCUUGGGGGACCACCUGUGGCGAAGGCGCCUCACCAGAACGGCUCCGACAGUGAGGGACGAAAGCUGGGGGAGCAAACCGGAUUAGAUACCCGGGUAGUCCCAGCUGUAAACGAUGCGCGUUAGGUGUAUCGGUGACCACGAGUCACCGAGGUGCCGAAGAGAAAUCGUGAAACGUGCCGCCUGGGAAGUACGGUCGCAAGGCUGAAACUUAAAGGAAUUGGCGGG
This 862-nucleotide ribosomal RNA is filed under the name uncultured Methanosphaerula sp. RNAcentral describes it as "bacterial SSU rRNA". It matches the Rfam family "Archaeal small subunit ribosomal RNA", at positions 1 to 872 of the family's 1478-position model. The record is from RNAcentral. Lineage: Archaea; Methanobacteriati; Methanobacteriota; Methanomicrobia; Methanomicrobiales; Methanoregulaceae.